Hylaeus volcanicus is the source of this 7719-nucleotide long non-coding RNA. RefSeq lists it as uncharacterized. The transcript has 5 exons. NCBI's taxonomy places the organism in Eukaryota, Metazoa, Arthropoda, Insecta, Hymenoptera, Colletidae. The record is from RefSeq and is a predicted model, not a curated record.
AUGUCAGUUUAAGGGAGUGGACUCCGUCGCCGAAAAGAUCGACGCGACAUAAAAGCCAAGCGGCCACUAGAAGAAGUAAAUUAAUUAAAACAUUUAGCCAGUAGGGGAGCUGAAUGCAAUUUCUGCUGUUCAAAAUAUGAUGCUGGUAAGGUAAGGUAGGCCUUAUAAGCAAGCGAGACGUCUGAAUGUGACAACGACAAUGUAGUAUCGUUGGAGCGAGCAGUGGCAUGUCCGUGUACCUACGAGACUGCAAGGUUUUGGUUCUGUCCUAUUUAUGUCUCGACAAUGCAGAUUCGAGACCUCUUAAUAGUCGUAUUCGCUAGAUAAAUGUUCAAACUUGUGCGCAAACUCCUAUAGGUAGUCUACUUUUGCUCUUUUGUGUCAUAAUUAACAAUAUUCGGCAGCAUGAUACCGCCCAUGAAGACUGGCGAGCAGCCGUGCCGAGACACACUCAUACAUGCAACGCCCGGUGGAAAGUCGUUGUGCCUACGAGUAGGCUGCGUGAUGCCGCGAUACCUGAAAGUAAGGGUCUAGCCGAAUAAGCGAGACUUUCAAUAUUACAUUUGUGACAUUUUUCUGAUUACAAUGAUACCACAUAUAAUACAGUUCGGGUAGUAUUUACAAUAAUUUAUGGGCGACGCGGAGAAAAUGCCGUUUCGAAAACGUUCAACAGCUCACAAGGGGAAGUCGCGAUCCGGACGAGCGCUUUUUGAACGAGAUCGAGCUCACAAAGAGACAUCGCCUAGUGUCCCCCGAAUUUUUUAAUCAAAUUACUUUCAUAUGUAAAGAAGUUUAUGUAGAACAAUCUCUGCAAGUGAGAAGCGCGACUGUCUUUCAUUUUUGAGAAAUAAAUUUUUAAAAAUAGCUAACUUUCAAUUGACGUGUGUCGACCAUACAAGAAUCGAAGGUAUCAUAGAAGCAGCGUGGCAUUCGUUCGACUACCUCCGCAGGGGUCGGAUGUAUUACCUGUGCGCUCCGCUACCGAUCCGUGAAGUGCCGCUAACGGUGACACCCUACGUGACUUUUGUGACACGCUAGUGAAUCUUCGUCGAUUUGUAUAAAUUACAGUGCUUUAAUAAUAAUUAACCAAACACAAACAAUUGAGGCAGUAUUCAAAGAAUUAGGAGAUGCAUCCCCUACAAGUGUAGCACAACAAGGCGUAGCCAAAAUCGUGAAUAAAGUGAAAAGUGCUCACCCGUCACAUAUUAUCACGACGGACAAAAACGUUAUAGAAACAGACGACAUCAUUCUCUCGUCUCUCACGAGAGAAUAUAUCAAGUCCAAAUCAAAUGUGUAGAGGCUAAACCCCGCGGCAAGGUUGACCACGCGCAAGGUACCGGCGUUGCCGGAAACCGCCAAAAUGAAAGCGAAGACGAAAGAAAAAGGACCAAGCGACGACAAGCCGUCUUACGAUGAAUUGUUAAAAAUGAUUAGCAAUUUAAAUAAUACCAUCAGUGAGCUCUUCAAGCAGCUCGCUGAAAAAAGAAAAAUCAGGGAGGCGAAAGAAGCAGCUGAACGGAGGCUACAGGAGACAAAGGCGCCCCUGGGAAAACCAGCGACGUCACCCAGCAUGCCCGAGGACGUCGCCAUCUUGGACGCGUCGGCGGAGGACAACGGCGACUGGAACAAAGUCGCAACAAAGAGGCAGAGCGUCCAAACCAACACCAACACCACGGGAAACAAACGCAAGAGGAUCGCCACCCCUUCAACCAGCCAGCAGGUAGAACCCAUCGCCCAGGCGACUCUACCGAAGAAGAAGCCGAGGUUCACCGACGAGGUAACGGUACCUUUGACCGAAAAUACUAAAGUUGCGCGACCCCCACCUAUAACAGUUUACAAUAGUAACUCUAGAGAAACAGUAGAGACCAUCGCGACAAUCACAAAAGACUUUUACAUUAAAAAAAUUAACGUCAGUAAACACACAGUCCGCAUAAACUCAAUAGAACACUUCAAAACCGCGUGCGUUGCUUUAAAAGAGAAUAAUAUCGAAUAUUAAUAUUAACUAUUCUUUUGAAAAACCUGGAAGGAGACUACGAUCCAAAAGUAGUACUCGCCGAAUUAAAAAAACAACAUAUCAGCAACGUAAAUUUCGCGACCGUCAACAAAUUUAAAACCCAAAAGUCGAUUAGGGAAGGCAAAAACCUCUCAAUAUACCUGGUUCAAUUAUCGCCAAAUAGUAAAUUUGAAAAUGCUCAACAAAUUAGAGUCGUGCUUCACUCCCUUGUCACAUGGAAGAAAUUAAUUAAAAAAGACCGCAUCCAAUGCAAGAGAUGCCAACGGAUAGGAUACGUUGCACUUAACUGCAAUCUGAAUUACAGAUGCGUUAAGUGUAACAUUCAACACAACCCGGGAGAGUGCUCUUUUCCGUAGCAGGCACUAGCGCAGAAGAUGACGCGGAAACGCGUCCCUUCUGCGUAAACUGCAGAAACUUCGGACACCCUGCGUCGUACAGAGGUUGCCUGAAGUUGAAAGAAUUGAAACAGAAAAUAGAAGAGAAAAAAACACAAAUUAGAUUAGAAAAAGAAAGGAAACACCAAUUAGCAAAUAAAUUCAUUAAACUGAACAUUUCAUUCAGCGCGAUAGUAGCGAACAACGUCCAGACAGCGAUCCCCAAAACACAACCAACAAUAACACGGACGCAACAACAACCACCCAAGACGUUCUCAACACACCUGUUCCUAGAGGAGAUAAAGAACAUUAUCUCCUCAUCCAUAAAUACACACAUUGCUCGUAUCGCGGAAAACGUACAAGCAAACGCGAAUAAAAUCAACAUAAUAACAGAAACAUUAGGUAUUGAACUCUAAACUCCACAAAUGGCCAACACACAACACACUCCACAAAACAAAACAAGCUUUGCUUUAUUAAAAAUAAUUCAGAUCAAUGUCAAUUCCAUUAUCACUAACGAGAGAAGAGUCACUCUCCUGGACACACUCACACAACACAACCCAGACAUAAUUUUAUUAUCGGAAACAAAAUUAAACCACACACACAGAAUAAACUUUAGAGACUAUCACAUACUCCGCACAGAUAGACCGCGUUCCAAACAAGCUGGCGGCACAGGCAUAAUCAUCCGAAAAAACAUCUCGUUUAGACGCAUCCAACCAAACUGUUUAAAAAAUAGCAUCAGUUUCGAGUCCACAAUAAUAGAACUUAAAUUACAGAAUAAUUGCACAUUUUAUAUUAUUGCAGGAUAUGCAACUAGCAACUGCAAAACAGAAUUUAUGAUAGAGUUGAAGAAAUUAUUUGAAAUCCUUGAAUUACAUAGAUCAAAUCACUAUUAACUUUAGCCGGCGCGGCGGUAAUACCUUGAAGAACGCAAGAGGCGUAUCGGUUAACAAAUGGUAUUCCGAAAGCAGAAUCAAAUAUAGAACCUCCUUACUCAAAACUGCAGUCCCAUCAUUUCCAAAAAGCGGAGCGUACCUCGAUCUCUGCCUCGCGGACGAAAGAAUUAAAUUCCACAAUCUACCUGCUCCAAAAGCCCUAGACACUUUUACAUACGACAGCGAUCAUAGAGCAUCUUUAAUGAACAUCUCGAUUCAGACACUCAACACACUGGAACUAGACGAACCUUCGACGACAAUUUUAACAAAGCCGACUGGGCAAAAUAUCGCGACUUCUUAAUAGAAAAUGAUGACACAGAUAUUACAAACGACAGAAACUUAACGAAAAACAAAAUCGACGCACACUUAGACAAGCUGAACAACAAUAUAUCUCAAGCAAUAGACUUGGCAGUACCGCGAAUAAACAACGACUUCAACUCUACAGACAGAUACCUUAACCCUAAAAUUAAAAACCUCCGGAGGCACAAGAGCCGUCUGCUCACAUGCCUAAAUAACCUAUCAAGAAUACUCUCCCCGGCGGGAUACCGACCACUAUACUACCAGGGAGGGCGCAAUAGUUAUUAAUAAGUAAAUGAGACAGUAGAUACUGUCUGUGUCAAUAUGUAUUAUUAAUUUAAUUAUUACUAUCUGACUUAAUUGUAACUAAGGAGUAGUUAGGGUCGUUAAAACUACUUAAAUUUAAACGGUGCGUGUUACAUUGUGUGUUGUGUGUGUAUAAUACAUAGGUGUGACAGGUGUGAUCUGAUUAUGUUUAACUGAACUGCAACCACCAGUACUUGUCCGUGUUGUGUCUGUGUUUGUCGUUCAAGUCUAUCGUCGAUAGUCUGUAGUUGGAACGUAUGUCGGGGUCGUCAAAUUGUGUAUUUAUUGGAUAUUGUUCACCCUAACAAUUCCUAUAACAACUAUUAUCCUACUUCACAACGCAUACACAAGUCUAACACUUUCACUACCUCUACUAAUUGAAAUCCACACUACACAAUUAGAAUGAUCCUUUAAAUGAAUCAACUAAUGCAAUAAGACUUAGACAACUUUAAGUAAUCAAUCCUUAAAACAAAAAUCAAAACUAUUCAAGCUACUAUCCCAGCAAUAAAUCUUAUUCCCUCUAUAUAGAGAACUCUGAGCAUCUCGCUCAUCAUUCAUUCUAUCCAAUCUCCCAACAAUAACCAACCCCUAAAAAUGCAAUUAUCCAAACAGUCCCCAUAACAAAACCAUUAAUUUGCUCCACAACAUAAAUUACUAAACCAACACUCAGAAUACCUCUAAUAACUCAAACCUUCACUCUCUGACUAGAAGGAUCCUUCAAUCUCCUAAAAUGAAUCAACCAACCCAAGAAUACAUAGGCUAAUGAAAUUAAUUAAUUCUUAAAACACGCAACUGAAUGCAAACAAACUCAAUACGUAUCCUGAUAUUAGUCAACCUUACAACAAUAAAACUACACCUCUAACUAAAACCCAAAAGAAGAACACUACUGCUAGGAACUUAACCGAAUAGUCUCUUAGGAUGUAUAAAUACAGAAGUCCUAACCCAAUAUGACCAAUCACCACCAUGUUCAUCCUUAUAGAUUAACAAAACACUAUCCACACCCCCAAAUCACCAGCAAAACCAAUAAUCAACCCCAAAACCUAAAAACAACAACCAACAGACCAGACACCCACCAAUACCACAACGGAAGAAGACACGUAAACACAAACUCAUCUAGAAAAAACAAACAUCCAACACCCCAUCCUCUACCCCCAAUAAAACACGUAUAUCCACCAAGGCAACAACGAACCCAUAAUAACUCACCCAAUACACACAGACAAUAACAUAUAUCCCAAACCCACAACCAUUACACACGCACAGACUCCACACACAACAAAACGCCCAUAAUACAAGCAAAACGGGAUCCUAUAAGACGAAAUAGGAAAACAAAAGCUCAACAAGCUGUCAUUGCAACCUCCCCAAUUAAGAUGGAAAGGACACCCCAACCAACCACUAGAGCCCAACCCCGCAAGCCACCCAAUCAGAAUUACCCGCCCACCGCUACCGACAGACGAAACACGAUAGUCGAACAGGUAGAACUCCCAGCCCCACCCAACAUACAGCGACCACCAUCCAAACACCAGCCUCGAACCACCAAUGAACCACAUAAGCACCCCUCCACACUACCCUGAAAAUCCUACCCCCACCAAUAAACCCACUCUCCACAAACAUCAAGUUCCUAUCAACCCCACCACCUCUCCCACCCCCUAACAGAGCCGCUAGACCAGACCAUCAGAUCCCUGCUAUUCAAUCAUAACAUUAUGACAAAACCGAAUAAGACCCUAUAGAGGAUAGCAAAUAAAAAAGGACAUACAAGGGGCUCGUAAAUAAAUAAAUAAUUAAGAUAUACAAGUUUUAUUCUCCAAACUCGAAUCAAGAAAUACAAUCUCAAAUACACGUAGCCCUCUCGUAAGAAUAGCACGGCAAAACAACAAUAAGUCAUAGAGCACGCUUAACUUAACACAAAUAAACCAAAUAUCAGAAGAACAUUCUCAAGGACGCCCCCCCCCCCCCCCCCUCUGCCAAACCCACAUCCACAGCGAACUAAGACGUGAAGAUACAGAAGCAAUAAUCCCUCCCCUAGGAUAGAGCUCAAUGAUCCUAACUGGAGUGUGAACUGCGAGAGAGAAGCCGGUCCGAGAGAGAUGCAAGAUGAGUGGUUCCGGUGGUACUAUCCUAUAGCAAAUUUAUGUGUGGAGAGGGAACAGACUCCUCUUUGUUUGAAUUUCGCGGCACUCUAGGAAUUAUUUACAGAUUAAUUAUGUACAGACCCCCUGGGGGUCUAUUCUCGAGUUUCGUGUGAAUUUAGUCGUAUACGAACACUUUCGUAUGGCGUGUUUCGUGUACGAAUCAUUCACAUAUGAAAACGGUAUUCUGGAGCACUAUACGAAUCACUGAUUCGUAUACGUAUGAAACAGUAUUGCCAGAUUUACGCGUUGGAGACGAACCAAUGAUUGUUCAACUUUAGAAAAUACCAACGGAAAUAUACAUGGCGUCCUGUCAAUGUCACGUGUAGUUUUCCGUAAAGGAGAACGCUGUGCAAGAGGCCCUAGCCGUCCGUUUAUUACACUCAAGUUGUAAUGUUUUAUUGCGGCCACGGGAUGCGACGGUACUUCCGAGUGACCAUGUGUUUUCCCAAAUUUAGAAACUUGGCAGUAUUAACCGAGAAGCGUUUGAGGAAAGGCAGUAUUAUCCCACAAGCGUUUGCGGAAAUAUCGUGGAAAGAAUUGCGUGAAACAAAAAUGUGCGACGAGGGUAAACCAACUAAACGAACAGGGAACAUAUCCCGCGAGCAAAAAGAAAUUCUUAUUGAAUGUAUAGAAUCAAACCCAAACCUAACGAGGUCAAAAUUUUCGGCCGACUAUACGUAGAAGGAUGGGCAGCGUUUGUGGCAAAAAAUAACCAAUAUUUUAAACGCUUCGCCAGGGGCGAAGAAAGAUUGGAAACAAUGGAGACGUACGUGGCAAGAUUUCCGAGGAAAAGCGAAGGCAAAGCAGUCUUCUAUUAACAGAAAAUUAAAUGCCACAGGCAGUGGUCCGUUAAAUACAGAAAGUUUCUCGGUGGAGGAGGAACGUGUCCUAAACACAAUCCAUGCAACACAAGUAAAGGGUGAUUCCAGUAUAGAUGAAACGCCGAUACAAUUUAACUACUCCGAAGAAUAUUUAGAUACAGACUUGGUGGACAAUGAGAAGGUGGAAAACCAGCAGACUCUCAACCUGGCCCUUCAAUAAUAGUAGAGAGACCGACGAUUAAGAUAGAAAAAGUGAGACAGAAACACCCUCUACGUCGAGCCACUAAACUACAAAAACAAACCUCUGGCAUGAAAUCACAAGCUUUCAGUGCUUCUGACACGAAUAGCCGAGGAAGAUAAAGAAAAUAAAAAGGAAUAUUAUAAUAAAAAAUUGGCAUUGCUGGAGAGGAAUGUAGUAGCUAAAGAAAGAAUUGCGGCAGCCUUAGAAACUUUAGCUACUACACAUUACGGAUGAAACAUAUGAAAGUUCUAUCUUUCGAAAAUUUGCAUAGUAUAAUAAAUUUCAAUUUUGAAUUAGAAGUGGAAUAGGCCUAUUGGGACAUCACUUUAAAAAAAACGUGUUGAAGGCAAUAUUAACUCAUGGGUAACGUGGAAAGAUAUUGCAAUUGUAAUGGAAAAGAGGUACAAAUAAUUUGUUCAUAACAGUAUAGUGUAAAACAUUUACUAGAUGAAUUCGAAUGUAAUUAUUCCAAAUUGUAAUGAAUACAAAAGUAAUCAUUACUUUAGAGCUCUGUAUAUAAGUUAAGGUGCCUGUACAUAUCUACUUUAAAAUAGUAAUGUAAUAAUAAAGUAGUUAUAAAAAUGACUGAUAUUCUAUCAUUAAGG